RNAcentral lists this ribosomal RNA (382 nucleotides) under uncultured Coprococcus sp. RNAcentral describes it as "bacterial SSU rRNA". It matches the Rfam family "Bacterial small subunit ribosomal RNA", at positions 354 to 727 of the family's 1533-position model. Lineage: Bacteria; Bacillati; Bacillota; Clostridia; Lachnospirales; Lachnospiraceae. The record is from RNAcentral.
UGGGGGAAUCUUCCGCAAUGGGCGCAAGCCUGACGGAGCAACGCCGCGUGAGUGAAGAAGGGUUUCGACUCGUAAAGCUCUGUUGUCGGGGACGAAUGUGGAGAUGGUGAAUAACCAUUUCUAAUGACGGUACCUGACGAGGAAGCCACGGCUAAAUACGUGCCAGCAGCCGCGGUAAUACGUAUGGUGCAAGCGUUAUCCGGAUUUACUGGGUGUAAAGGGUGCGUAGGUGGCAAGGCAAGUCCGAAGUGAAAAUCCGGGGCUCAACCCCGGAACUGCUUUGGAAACUGUUUAGCUGGAGUACAGGAGAGGUAAGUGGAAUUCCUAGUGUAGCGGUGAAAUGCGUAGAUAUUAGGAGGAACACCAGUGGCGAAGGCGACUU